UGUGAAAUAUGCACUCUGCAUGUGCCUAUGCUACAGUCUCUUCUUCUGUAUUUUGGCUUACAUACUGCCGAAACUCAAUAUAGCAAAGUUUAAAUCUUGCUAGAAUAGAAAAAUAAGAAGACACAAACGAGUAUGAACACGUUAACUUACACAAGAUUAAUGUUCCUAUUAACACUGUGAAUGGUAACGGAUGAAAUGAACUGUAUGUCGCUUCCGACUUACACCAAGAAGAGCAAGGCCUCCACAGGUGUGUCUCCACAGGUGUGCCUCCACAGGUGUGUCUACUAGUGUGUCCCCACAUACCUGCCACUGUACAACUGGUAAACAUUCUGCACUAAUGACGAUAUUAGGUGUAUUUUAUCCCAUCAAUUUCUUUAAGGCAGAAGAUAAACUUUUGUCUUGACAAAUAUGUUGGUGCUCAUCAACACUCAGGAGAUCUUAGGCCAUACUGUGUUGACAAGCACUCUUUAGUAGCAUGCAUAAAACA
This is a long non-coding RNA of Haliotis rubra (blacklip abalone), 487 nucleotides long. RefSeq lists it as uncharacterized. The record is from RefSeq and is a predicted model, not a curated record. NCBI's taxonomy places the organism in Eukaryota, Metazoa, Mollusca, Gastropoda, Lepetellida, Haliotidae. The transcript is spliced from 2 exons.